Molecule: unclassified non-coding RNA, 277 nt
Filed under: Capnodiales sp.
Lineage: Eukaryota; Fungi; Ascomycota; Dothideomycetes; Capnodiales
Description: partial contains 5.8S ribosomal RNA, internal transcribed spacer 2, and large subunit ribosomal RNA
Rfam family: 5.8S ribosomal RNA (bases 1-71)
Source: RNAcentral
GUGAGUCAUCGAAUCUUUGAACGCACAUUGCGCCCUUUGGUAUUCCGAAGGGCAUGCCCGUUCGAGCGUCAUUAAACCCACUCAAGCCUGGCUUGGUAAUGGGCGUCGGGACGUCCCCGCGCCUCAAUCUCCCCGGCGAGACUUUCCAUCGCGAGCGUUAUGAUAUUCAACUCGCGAAGCGAUCGAGAAGACUCCUGCCGUUAAAAACCUCCAACAAGGUUGACCUCGGAUCGGGUAGGGAUACCCGCUGAACUUAAGCAUAUCAAUAAGCGGAGGA